Molecule: non-coding RNA, 2024 nt
Organism: Gasterosteus aculeatus aculeatus (three-spined stickleback)
Lineage: Eukaryota; Metazoa; Chordata; Actinopteri; Perciformes; Gasterosteidae
Source: RefSeq, a predicted model, not a curated record
GUGCUCCCCCCUGUGUGGAUUAAACUGUUUAUUUUGCUUUGGUACGAAAAGAAUGUGUGUGUGGGCGAACAGCGUGAUGCUACCUGUUGUGAAAGGCUUUGUGUGUGUGAGGUUGUGUGUGUGCGUGCAUGUGUAUUCUGUACCUCCAGCCCUUCCUCAACGUGCCGCUCCAUUUUGCCGUGAACUUUACCCCCAAACCACAUUGUGUUAUACAUUAAAACUUUUGCGCCGCCUAAAUUAUCAAUGACCUAAACAUUGAUAAUUAGAAAAAACUUGUAUUAUUUAUUUUUAUCAGCUAAAGCAUAACUACUAAGUAAAUAAGCAAAACAGGGAGUCAACACAUUAGUUUAUUCAUUGAUGCCGAAAACCUGAACAGCUCACCGCAUCUUUACACCCAGAGAGCUGACAGUUGUGGGCCGCUGCAGUGUUGAUCCUGCUCUAUUUUGUUGUAGUGAAUGUAGGUAGGUGUGUGUUUGUGUGUGUAAACAGGCGCCUUAUUCUGUCAGAAGGGAUCUCUGCAGGCGGGCGGGCCUCGCUCUCUUUCUCUCUCAUUUUUCUCUCUCACACACACACACACACACACAGUCUUAAAGGCUUCUUCCCGGUUGCAUGUGUGUCGUUCUCUCGACUAUAUGGAACAUGCGGCCUCUAAUUGGAGACCCAGCUCCUGUUUUCUCCUGCGUCCCUUCCUGAGCAGCUGUAUUUAUGUUUUUGCUGCCGUGACCCAGAUACCUCCAGCACACCCCCCAGAUGGAUUGCUGUGGCUGGUUAAGAGGACAAUUUGUCCCCCAUAAGAACGGAUAGCUUGUCACCUGCUGGCUCUAGCUAUGGUAUCAUUUGAAUAAAAUCUAAAUAAAAGCAGCUCAGGUUUCUCAUUUCUCUUUUUUUCUCUGUCUUGGUUACCAAAAGAGGCAGAAAACUGUCAGAGAAAACAACCAGAGUCAAGUGCGACCGCUUUCCCACACUGCCUCGUGUGUGCAGAGUGGAGGUGGUGUGCGUUGGGGCGAGGGGCACUCGGACAGAAACGCUCUUUGCCACUGGCGUCGCCAUGGAGACGAGAGGGAUCCUCUUAUUGACCCCCCCACCCCACUGGCUGCUUGCAUUUCCCUGCUGUUUGCCAUUGAGGCUGUCGCAGGGGGAACUGCUUAUUUGAUGGAUAGGUGUGUGGUCCGGCCUGGGUUGUUGGUUUGAUUCCUGGACACUGUCAAAUUGUGUAAAAAAACAAACAAAAAAACUCUCGCUUCCUGUUUUCCUUCCAACGUUGCUGUGGCUUUCUGGAAAAACUUAAAAUACAGAGUUUGGUGCAAAGUGUGCGAGUGCAUUAACGCACAAGUGCGUCGUAGAGAUGCAGACACACACACACACACACAGCAGAGCAGAUCCAGAGUCCGCUCCCACGAGGGUGUGCACUUCGCCCUCGUUCGCACUCAUUUUCAGACUUGUUUCACUGAGACACACCCACUUUGUUUUGUAGGACACACACACACAGAGAAGAAAAAGAGAGAGAGCAGCGUGGAACUCUGUCCCUGACAAGACACACAGCGAGAGUCAGGAAACACCACUUUCUCAUUUGGACGAUGGCAUAAGACAGGACAAAGUAACAUGGAAAACACGUGCUGAGGCCAAAUUCUGGAGAAUUAGUGAGGACUUGACUCGCAAAUCUUUAUGAGGGUAAAGCUGGGAGGAGUGGAACAGAAAAUACACGGCAGCAGCGUGGACGGAGGGAGAGGCGCAAAGGAUGACAUCACUGUCACCCGUGGGAGCCAGGCGGCUACCAUUCAUGCCAGGGGUGUGUGUCACUUCCUGGGAGAGAAUAGAACAGGAAGCCGGAGUGAGAGCCGACAACAAGCGCUCGCCUCACCUCGACAAGGGAGCCUUUCUCCCAUCAGAGCAAAAAGGAGUUUCUGUAUGUGUGUGUGUCUGUGUGUAUAUUUGUACAGCUAUCUUUAUGGGAACAACUUGAGUUGUUAGACCCUGAGACUCUUUCCAUAUUUGGAAAGUGGGAACCUGUGGGACCAACCGUU